Molecule: ribosomal RNA, 497 nt
Filed under: uncultured bacterium
Lineage: Bacteria
Description: partial 16S ribosomal RNA
Rfam family: Bacterial small subunit ribosomal RNA
Source: RNAcentral
GAUGAACGCUGGCGGCGUGCCUAAUACAUGCCAGUCGAGCGAACGGACGAGCAGCUUGCUUCUCUGAUGUUAGCGGCGGACGGGUGAGUAACACGUGGAUAACCUACCUAUAAGACUGGGAUAACUUCGGGAAACCGUAGCUAAUACCGGAUAAUAUUUUGAACCGCAUGGUUCAAAAGUGAAAGACGGUCUUGCUGUCACUUAUAGAUGGAUCCGCGCUGCAUUAGCUAGUUGGUAAGGUAACGGCUUACCAAGGCAACGAUGCAUAGCCGACCUGAGAGGGUGAUCGGCCACACUGGAACUGAGACAGGGUCCAGACUCCUACGGGAGGCAGCAGUAGGGAAGCGUCCGCAAUGGGCGAGAGCGUGACGGAGCAGCGCCGCGUGAGUGAUGAAGGUCUUCGGAUCGGAAAACUCUGUUAUUAGGGAAGAACAGAUGUGUAAGUAACUGUGCACAUCGUGACGGUACCUAAUCAGAAAGCCACGGCUAACUACGUG